GGCGCCCGCCCCAGGCCCGCGCCGGCUGAGCACCGCGGGACCUCCGCUCAGCCUCUGGAGCCGGCCGAAACCCUUCCAAUAGAUACUCCUGUAUUCAUCAUGUUACAGAUUGACUUCAGCUCUACUUCAUGCCAUUUUCAAGAUCCACCCUCUAUCUGAUGAACAAUUAACCUUGUGGCAAAGGAAAAAAGAUCUUGUGGGCUUUGUGAUGCUGAAAAGCAUUAAUAAACUUCAUGCCUUGGAAAAAUUGGAGGAAGAACCCCCACCAUAUGCAGAUGAAUUAGAUUUGGG
This 291-nucleotide long non-coding RNA is filed under the name Sus scrofa (pig). Its description in RNAcentral is "lncRNA (ENSSSCG00045001313.1)". The record is from RNAcentral. Lineage: Eukaryota; Metazoa; Chordata; Mammalia; Artiodactyla; Suidae.